UACAGAGGGUGCAAGCGUUGUUCGGAAUUAUUGGGCGUAAAGCGCGUGUAGGCGGCGACUGCAAGUCGGGUGUGAAAUCCCUCAGCUUAACUGAGGAAGUGCGCCCGAAACUGCAGCGCUUGAGUGCCGGAGAGGGUGGCGGAAUUCCCCAAGUAGAGGUGAAAUUCGUAGAUAUGGGGAGGAACACCGGUGGCGAAGGCGGCCACCUGGACGGUUACUGACGCUGAGACGCGAAAGCGUGGGGAGCAAACAGG
Molecule: ribosomal RNA, 254 nt
Filed under: uncultured bacterium
Lineage: Bacteria
Description: partial 16S ribosomal RNA
Rfam family: Bacterial small subunit ribosomal RNA
Source: RNAcentral